AGUCCUGAAACAAGCCUGUCCCCAAGGAACUGCAACUCUUACCACCACGGGAUUUCUCAAGAAGAUGAAUAUGACCUUCUGACUGAGUUUGAUGAGAUUUACAAGUACUAACCCGGGCCUUCAUCUGAAACUGCUAAUGUGCAGAAAAGAGCAUGCCUGUGCAUUUGGGAGACAGAUUAUGGGAAAAGAACCACAUUCUGUACUGAAGAUGUGGAAGAGCUGUAGAUUUCAUAGUCAGAUAAUUAGGUUUUCUUUGUUGUUUAUGUCUUUUUGAUAUGUAUUGUUUUUUCUUCUACUCUAUUUUUGCUAUUUUGACUCUUACUGAAUUUCUGUUUUAAUGGAACUUAAAAUCCUAAUGCCAAACUGUAAUUCCUGACUGAUAAUUAUCAGGUUUGAAUCCAUAGUUUCCUAUGUGAAGCUAUGAAUUUUUUUCUAUAUGCAACAUUGCCUACAUUAUCAUUCAUCUACCAUUCUGUUGCCCAGUAUUCAAUGGCUUCUUAGCAAUUCUUCCUAAUUUACCCUCAUUCUUACCAUCUCAAGUAAUUUUUUAUUAGCAGUAAACUUUCUCACCUUUUGCCAGUUAUUUGUGAGCACAGUGAAUACCAGUAUAGAUCCCUGGGGAAAUUAGCUGAUGAUCUCUCUCCAUUGUGGAAGCUUACCUUUUUGGGUUUUUUUUGUCUUUUAAUGAGUUGCUUUUCCUUGAAAGGACUUUUCUUUCAUUCUGUGGCCAUGCAACUUCUGCAUACAUAUGAUUAAAGGAGAAAAAUCAAAGUAUAUCAUAACCCGAAGCAAAAAUUCUGCAGAUCACAAAACUCCAGGCAAAGCCAAUCUGUGCUCAAAACGUAAAUGCAGUCACAUAGGAGUCAUGAUUGAUGUCUUCCCAAAAGAAUCAUUUAAAUCCAGACAGCUAAGACAUGUCACCAGUGCUCCAGACAGGGCAUUCACUGUGCCAGGGAAAGAAUUGCCGGACAUCUGCAAAGAGGCAUAAAUACCUAGAUGUAAAGAAGGCUUGUUUAUUUCACUAAACCAUUUCUCUGCUUCCAUUCUUUAAUGAGCAUCGUAAACUCUUGCAUCCCUGCUGAAAAUCAAAAAUAAUGCUGCCUCCUCUUCUUUCUUUGGGGGUGUUUCCCCGUUACACUCUGUCUCUUCCAGAAGCCAGCUGCCUCUCCCCUAGCUACAACUUCUCCACCUGCUCCAGCAGCUGCUUUCCUUUCAUGCUGAUCGGGAAGGUUUCUUCAUCUGGGCAUUUUGGUAAUCCCGUUUGCCCCACCCUUUUGCUUUGAUGCAACUCUUCGUGAGUGACACUGCAAAAUGCAGUGGGGCUGUGGGGAGCAGCCUGGGGUUAAGGUCUGCCAGGAGUUGAGGAAGGAGGAGCUUUGUGCACUGAUCUUGCUGAAGGAGAAUGAUUCUGAGGUGUAAACUUUUAGAGUAGUUAGGUCUAAACCAUAUAUUGCUUGGAGUUUGUUAGUUACCUGAGGAAAAUAUGGAGAUAUGAUCCAGACAGUUUUUUUUUCAAGCUUUAUCAGGUGGUGAAAUGAGGAUAUUCUCUCUUUCUAAACUUUCUUUCCCUGUUGAACUGCUUCCCUUCUUACACUGGCUAAUGUUGGGCAGAGCCAUGCUGUGUUCUUGCAGGUCUCUCAUUCUGGAGAGACGUGGGUAGAGGAGACUGUGGCUGUGCAUCCUGCAUCCGGAUUUUGGCCAGCUUAGUGAGAUAAACAUGUGGUUGAGCUGAGAGCAAUGGUCAGGCUGUGUAACUCUUUCCUCAUGUAACUGUCAUCCUAGUUGUGGACACCAAGCGCUAUCAACUUUGACAAAGUCCUGUGGCUUUGCAAACAAGAGCACCAUCUUCUAAUAGAAUAUGUUGGGCAACUUUAAUUGUAGGUAUCAAAAUAGCUCCCGAGAGUCACAGUAAUGGUCAUAUAGCAAAAGCAGUUUAGUUACACCAAGUUCUUCAUGUCAGGACCACUGUUCUAUUAAGCACAUCUGCAUUCAUACUUCAGGUUUAGGAGCCCUGGAAGGCCAGCUAUGAAUUUCUUUUAUGAAAGCCUUUGUGUUCUCUGAGUCAGCGCAUAUCCUCACUAUGUGUUGAGCUAUGUUGUGUUGGUAUCUCUGCUUAGAGGAUCUGUUUGUUAAUUAGUAUCUGAACUAUUCAGCGAACAGUAAAUGAGUCAGUAUUACUGGAUGGGGUUGGAUUUCUAUCAGAGCAAUUUGAUGGUUUAUAAAAGGCACAAUAGUGACGUGGAUGUUCAGGAAGUACCUACAAUAUCUUCUUGUUGUUUGUUUUUCCCCCUUCCCCCCCCCCAAACAAUGUGGUGGUACCUGAACAUAUAGAGUCAUUAAGAUUGGAAAAGACCUUUGAAGAUCAUCUAGUCUGACCAAUGGCUAUUGCUGAGAACCAAAAGGAAACCUUCUAUAGGAUCUUUGCCUGGUGCUUGGUUGAGUUUACUGAUUACUGCCAUGUGAAAUAUCAGUCCUCAUGUCAUCCCCUGCUCACCUGUGUCACACUGGAAGGACAGAUUCCUAUUUGGUCAGUCCCCACCCUGACCCUCCUCUCAGGCUAGAAACUUAACUAUUGCACAGUGGUUCUUAAAAUCAGUUUGUCUCAAGAUGGAGCUGCAAAUUAUAGCUGUAUCAGUCCACUGCCUCUUUCAGUUGUUUAUUUUUUUGAGGGCAGCACUAAAGAUCCCCCAGAUGUUGACUCUCUUCAGAGGAUGUAUUGAACAUGCCAGUAUGAGGGAGUGAUCUCUAACUGUGUGCAAGUGCUUUUACUGACUUGAGGCAUAUUUCUGCAGGUGCCACGUUUGGGGAAAAAAAAAGGUCUUGAAUGAGACCCUAGAACAUGCUAAAUAUUGCAGAGAAGCAUACCAAUGAAGUAUUUACAGAUUAAAAAAAUCCAGAUUCUGAAUUUACAAAACAUGAUUUCCUCCAUCUGCGCUCUGUGCUCAUCAUUUUGUUACAAACCACUUCAUUCCUUCAUCACUAAUAGCUGUCUUUGAAUGCUGAAUUGGCUCAUUAGGCUCUUUUAUCCCAUGAAUGAAAUUCUUCCUCUGAGUCAAAUGGGCACUCCUUUAUUUUUCCUAUUGAUUCUUAGUUAAAUAUAUCAGACUGCUUCUAAGCAAUCAAUAAAGCAGCAGGAAAGACUUCUGA
Meleagris gallopavo (turkey) is the source of this 3147-nucleotide non-coding RNA. Lineage: Eukaryota; Metazoa; Chordata; Aves; Galliformes; Phasianidae. The record is from RefSeq and is a predicted model, not a curated record.